GCCCGGCUAGCGCAGUCGGUAGAGCAUGAGACUCUCAAUCUCAGGGUUGUAGGUUGGAGCCCUACAUUGGGCG
This is a non-coding RNA of Agelaius phoeniceus (red-winged blackbird), 73 nucleotides long. The record is from the annotation of a RefSeq genome assembly. Lineage: Eukaryota; Metazoa; Chordata; Aves; Passeriformes; Icteridae.